RNAcentral lists this long non-coding RNA (364 nucleotides) under Brachypodium distachyon (stiff brome). RNAcentral's name for it is "long non-coding RNA (BDIS_LNC002961)". Lineage: Eukaryota; Viridiplantae; Streptophyta; Magnoliopsida; Poales; Poaceae. The record is from RNAcentral.
UAGGCGAUCUCUGGUCGAUUCCUCGCGUCCAGACGAAGAGCAGCUCUGGGCGAGCAAGGUGAAGCGCGCAGUUCUUCUUGGUUCGGCCGUCGCGCAGCGGGCGCGCGCGAAGCUGGGCCGAGGCGGCUGCGGGGCCGACUCGGGCCGAAAGGUAAGCAGGUAGGUUUUUCUUUCUCUUUUUCUUUUUCCUUUUCCCUUUUUCUGUUUUCUCUUUUACAAAUAGUUUCGGAUUCAAACUUCAAAUACCAUUUUGAAAAGUUCAGAAGUAGGAGAAUUCAAAUAUGGUACUAGCAUUUGGAAAUAUUCAAAUGGGGUUAAAGGUUUAAAACAAAACCCAUUUGAAUAUCAUUUGUAAAAUGUAGGA